CGGCAAGUCCUACACGACCAGCUCCUACAGAAUCCUCCAGGAUGGGAACAUAGCAAAGGUAUGCGGUUGAGCGGUGCGAUGUAGGUCGCUUGCCAUUU
This 98-nucleotide signal recognition particle RNA is filed under the name Flavobacterium sp. SUN052. RNAcentral describes it as "signal recognition particle sRNA small type". It matches the Rfam family "Bacteroidales small SRP", at positions 9 to 102 of the family's 107-position model. Rfam says of the family: The non-coding component of the signal recognition particle in Bacteroides Lineage: Bacteria; Pseudomonadati; Bacteroidota; Flavobacteriia; Flavobacteriales; Flavobacteriaceae. The record is from RNAcentral.